Molecule: ribosomal RNA, 301 nt
Filed under: uncultured bacterium
Lineage: Bacteria
Description: partial 16S ribosomal RNA
Rfam family: Bacterial small subunit ribosomal RNA
Source: RNAcentral
CAGUAGCCGCGGGAAUACGAAGGGGGCAAGCGCUGUCCGGAAUUAUUGGGCGUAAAGCGCGCGCAGGCGGUUUUUUAAGUCUGGUGUCUAAGUGCGGGGCUCAACCCCGUGACGCACUGGAAACUGGGAGACUUGAGUGCAGAAGAGGAGAGCGGAAUUCCACGUGUAGCGGUGAAAUGCGUAGAGAUGUGGAGGAACACCAGUGGCGAAGGCGGCUCUCUGGACUGUAACUGACGCUGAGGCGCGAAAGCGUGGGGAGCAAACAGGAUUAGAUACCCCCGUAGUCCCUGUCUCUUAUACA